UUCUGCGAAAUGCCGACCCGGACAUCGUCUAUAGGGCGGCGACCGUGGCCGUCGGGGGUAGCUCGGUGAGUCGCAUCGAUCAUGCUGCAACGCAAGGUCCGUGGGUUCAUAUAUCGUAGCUGUAUUGCGUUCUCAAUCCACUGAAUUCCAUGCUUGGACCAAAAUUCGGUAGUAUAUAUAACAAUCCAACUCCAACACUGCUGGUUUCAAGUUUCAACAAGCGAAUCCAUUAAUCUGAAGCAAACAGCUGAAACCAAUAGUGUCUGCACUUGAAUGGAAACCAUGUUUAACAUUCACUGACAAAACAAGGCGAUAAUUUCACUUGUUUAUUAUUUUCCCCAAGCUUGUAAAGCUUGAGCAUACAUAAUACUUUAAGAAGCAUCCACAAUGAAGAUGAACUGAGAAGAACUUUCCUAAAAAACAUAUGUAAAGUUCAAAAUGCGAAUCUGUUGGGCACUGUACACAAAUAAAGUAAGGCUAAUCAGAACUAGUGCUUCUAGUGAAGCUGGAAAAAUUGAAUCUCUGUGUAAAGUACAAUAUUAGCUACCAUGUGGAAUUUAUCCACUCGUGGUUGACUUUCAUGUGUCCAGGUCAGCAUUUAUACUGGCCAGGCAGGAGACUGCUUCCAUGAUAGUUGGCCUCCUGAAUUGAUUAUGAUCGACACACCUGCAAGCAGUUUGAAGCACCUUCAGCAUUUGCUCUUCAUACCCUGUUCCUUUAAGUGUUGGAUCCAGGACCUCAAUCUGCUUAUCCUCAGACCUCAUCUGUAGAACCCACGGGACAAGUUCUUUUGACGUAGACAGGACUGGAAUAGGUCGCCUCCAUGUGAGCAGCUCAAGAAGGACUACCCCGAAACUGUACAUAUCACCUCUUAACGUAGCAACCCAUGCUUGCCCAUACUCAGGGGGAAUGUAACCCGUUGUGCCAACUAACUCAGUUGUGACAUGUGUUUGGUUGGGAAGGAUCAAUCUGGCUAGCCCAAAGUCUGCAACAUAAGCUUUAAAUUCUUUGUCCAGUAGGAUGUUGCUGGAUUUGAUGUCACGAUGGACAAUCUGAGGCUUGCAGACAUCAUGGAUAUAAGAAAGGCCCAGGCUCGCUCCUUGUGCAAUCUUGAGCCGAGUCGGCCAGUCAAGACAGGAAUUGGCAUCAUCAUCCCUGUUAUGAAGCCAAUCAUCCAGGCUGCCAUUCUCCAUGUAAGAAUAAAUGAGCAGCCUUGAGUUUCCCUGUGCGCAGUAACCCCACAAUGGUACAAGAUUUUCAUGCUGUGCCAUGGAGAGUGCAUCAACCUCUGCUCUAAAUUCUCUUUCCAUCAGAAACAUUUCACCAUUGAGCUUUUUGAUUGCCAGCUUGGAUCCAUCAGGUAGCUCUGCCUUGUAGACUAAUCCAUAAUCUCCAUAUCCAAUGAUGUUCUCCUUGUCAAAGUUGUUCGUAGCUUUCACAAUGUUGGCGAAUUUGAGCUUGUUUUCUUCCCCUUUUCCUUGUGGCCUCUGCAUCACCACUAGUGUUUGCUCUGAACUAGAGUAGAAUGAAGUUGCCUCAUUGCCUCCGUUAUUCUUCCUUCGACUUUUUGCUGUAAAACCCUUCAUCCUGACUGAGACAAGGAGACGCCCCAGCAACAAAAGAAAAGCAAUACCUCCAAAGAACACACCAAAUGCAACUGCAAAAAUGACCUUAUUUCCUUGUUUUCUUGGAACUAGAGGUGUUGAAGCUGGACGACAUUUGUGAGUGAGCAUAGAGCCACAGAGCUUUGGAUUCCCAUCGAAACUAGAAUUUUGAAAUGUAUUAAACUGGCCUCCAGAUGGAAUAGGCCCUUCUAGGUCAUUGUUCGAAAUGUUGAAUGCUGAAAGGAAGUGCAGGCUAUUCAAUGCAGCUGGGAUAGCACCUGUGAGAUUGUUGCUGGACAAGUCUAGCACCUGCAAGUUUGUGAGGUUGCAAACCGAUUGUGGGAUCUGCCCGGAUAACUUGUUGAAACUGAAAUCAAGUAGAACAAGCACUUUCAACUGACCAAUCCGUGGGGGGGUCACACCUGUGAAGUAGUUGUUGCUUAGAUUCAACACUGUCGGGAAAGAUGUAACAACGCGGUAUUGAAGUGAUGGACCAUCAUAAACAGGCAGCUCAAAGACCCUUGGCCUUGCCUUCCAAUGAGUUGCGUUUUCAAUUGAUUUUAGCAUUGGCAUUUCCAUUAAGGUUAACGGGAUUUCACCUGUAAGAUUGUUGUUUGACACAUCCAUGUACAAGAGAUGGCUUAGGGAGUUGAUCCAGCCUGGUAUUGGUCCAGUGAGUUGAUUGCUAGUUAAAAAUAACAUCUCCAAAUUUGCGAGCCUUGAUAUCCAAUGAGAUAUUUUCCCAAACAAUGGGCAUUCUUCGAUGUCCAAAAUCUGAAGAUUCUCAAAACCAUUAAGCCAGUCAUCCUCUGGCAUGAGUUCUCCCUUGAAGUUCUGCCCAAUAAGUAAGGUUGUAAGGUUUGUACAGCUCUGAAGGAUUCGAAGUGCAUCUGUGAUGUUUUUGAAAGAAUUUUUAGCAAGUGACAGGAAAGUGAGGUGCUUCAGAUCACCUAUUCGUGGUGAAAGCUGCCCAUUUAAUUUGUUGCCAGAUAGUCGCAGUGCAAUCAGAUUGCUGCAAGAGUAUAUGCUCUCGGGAAUUUUGCCACUGAAGUUGUUGUACAGAAGGUCUAAAGUUUUUAGUUUGGGCAGGUUGGAGAAAUUGACCUUGGUAAGUUCUCCAGUAAAAUUGUUGCUCCUGAGGUCAACUGUUAUGAGAUUUGUGCAGUUGCUCAGAGCUGAUGGCAGCUCCCCGGACAUGUUGUUGUGAUCUAGGUGGAGCUCCUCUAGUUUCUUUAGCUCAGCUAUAGAAUAUGGAAUAUUGCCACUGAAGCUAUUCCCUCCAAGAUCAAGAGUAGACAGAUUUCUGAGGUUGCUUAUGUGUGCACCAUCAAGUACUCCAUGUAAAUCAUUGUUAGGAAAAGAGAGGUGCUCUAAUGAAGUAGCAUUGAAGAGUUCAUCUGGAAGUGUUCCACUGAGGUUGUUGUACCCGGCCCUGAGCUCUCUCAGCUUGGAGCAAUCACCAAGUCAUUGGGGGAUGUUGCCACUGAAUUUAUUUAAACACAGAUCAAGCACAGCGAAUGAUGGUGAGCUGUUACAGAAAUGAGUUGGUAUGUCCCCUGUAAAGCUGUUAUUACUGGCAUUGACUACAAUCAGAUUCUUCAUUUCUUUCCAUGUGGUGGAUGGCAACUGUCCUGAAAAUAAGUUGCUUGAGAUGUUCAGUACCUGGAGAGGCCGGGCAUGGUUUGAUGAUGGCAGCUUGUGGAGUGUUCCAUUGAGCUGGUUAAAGCUGACAUCAAGUAUGGUGAUGCUGCUGGACGACACCAAUUCCACUGGCAGACCACCGGACAGCAAGUUGCACGACAGGUUGAGGCGCAAGAGGCUGGUGAGGUUGCCAAGGAACGGUGAGAUGGACCCCUCGAGGCCUUGAGAAGCCAGUGAAACACCAGUGACCGUCCUAUUAUAACUGCUGCAGGUGAUCCCUUUCCAAGUGCAGCAAUCCGUGCCAUCCUGCCAUGCGGCAGCGAGGCCGCCGUCCCGCGAGAGCUCAGCAAGGAACUGGCGAAGGGAGGCCUCCUCGUGCUGUGUACAGGAACUGGUCGGAGAGGCCAAGGAGAUCAGCAGCACAAGAGCAAGACCAAGGGAAGGUAUGUGCAAUUUCUUGCUCUGUGUCAGGUUUGAAAACUGGAGUGUCUGCAUGGUUUUCUGGUGAAACUAGGAUNNNNNNNNNNNNNNNNNNNNNNNNNNNNNNNNNNNNNNNNNNNNNNNNNNNNNNNNNNNNNNNNNNNNNNNNNNNNNNNNNNNNNNNNNNNNNNNNNNNNNNNNNNNNNNNNNNNNNNNNNNNNNNNNNNNNNNNNNNNNNNNNNNNNNNNNNNNNNNNNNNNNNNNNNNNNNNNNNNNNNNNNNNNNNNNNNNNNNNNNNNNNNNNNNNNNNNNNNNNNNNNNNNNNNNNNNAAGAUCUUGCUCCCAUUAACAUUUUGGUCCUUGCAGUCGUAGUCAGCACAAAGGAAAAAAAUGGCUGGUUCACACUAUGACGUUUCACUCACGGCUGCCUGCUAUAAUCCACUGACAAGUCAAUUUCCCAAUCUUACUGAAUAUGGACCACACAGAAUAUUGCUUUUGCAGGCAUUCACUCAUUCUUGACCCAAUCUGUAUAUAAUUAUUACAGCAUGCCAUAAUUUACUUGACCUGACAUCACUUGUCUUACCGGCUUCGCUUCACCGAACAAAUCUCAUCUUUCCUCACUAAUACUAACCAAAAAAUAAUCAGUUCUUGAUGCAUCCUUUUGUGAACAGGAAAAAGUGCGCGUUCGAGAAAGAAACAGUUUGUGAAGAUUUUGCAAAGAUUCUACUGGCGACAGUAUGCCAGGAAGAUUCUACUGGUCGUGGAGGAGCUAGGGAAAGCUCGUAUAUCAUGCUGAGUGUGCAUUUUUGCUGUGUACUAGCUAAUUGCCCAUGCGUUGCAGCGGUGUAUAUGCAGAAAGUGCCUAACAUAUAUAUUUAGGGCAGCAUUUCAACUUUCUUUUAUGGGAUCCCUUCUUUUACUGUUAUAAACCAGUCUUCUUCUUCUUCUUCUUCAUCCUCAUCCNNNNNNNNNNNNNNNNNNNNNNNNNNNNNNNNNNNNNNNNNNNNNNNNNNNNNNNNNNNNNNNNNNNNNNNNNNNNNNNNNNNNNNNNNNNNNNNNNNNNNNNNNNNNNNNNNNNNNNNNNNNNNNNNNNNNNNNNNNNNNNNNNNNNNNNNNNNNNNNNNNNNNNNNNNNNNNNNNNNNNNNNNNNNNNNNNNNNNNNNNNNNNNNNNNNNNNNNNNNNNNNNNNNNNNNNNNNNNNNNNNNNNNNNNNNNNNNNNNNNNNNNNNNNNNNNNNNNGACUUGGAAACAUGUAACUAUCUUGUUUUGUUAACAUAAAGAGAACCAAACAUGGAUUAGUUAGCAAUAAUGAAAACAAUGAUUUACAAAGUUACUACUUGUGAGGGGAAGAGGAGUUUAUCUCGGCAACUGUCAUGAAAACCAAAGACUACAUACAUAAUUAAAAUGCAUCAUGUGUAAUAAUUCCUCUAUUUCAGAAUAUAAGGUACAUCAAUUUUCAUAAAAGUCAAAGGCUGUAGAAUAAAAUGUCUACAUGUGCAAUAUUUUUUUAAUAACUUUUUUAAUAAAAUAUGUAAAUACUUUUCAUGAUGGAUCCAAUGAUACAAAUUUGGUAUUAUAGAUAUUAGUUUUUUUCUAAGAACAUGAUAAAAAAUGCACAAGUUAAACUUUUGAAAAUAAUAAUACUAUAUCUAAUUAAUAAAAAAUAUGUAACAAAAUAUAUACAAUUAGAAAUUACGAUAAAAGUUUAACCCAAAAUACAAUUGCUCUAAAAUUUUGGACAGAGUACCUGCUAUGUACACAUGACAAUGUUUUGGUUGCACCCAGUCAUCCAUCCAGACCAUUAAUCAAAUAAGCAAGCCUUCGGAGACACAUUGAGAAGUGCUUCGUUGAAAGAAGCAUGUGGAGAACAGUUAUCACGAAGACAUCGCAUGGUGUACCUGGGUAUGAACCGAACAGUUAGCAAAUUCAAAAGCACCACAGAAGCAUCAUCCCUAGCUCAUAAUCGUUUGCAUAAAAGUACACUGAUUUUCACCCGUAAAAAAUGUACACUGAUUUCAUCAUCCACUGCCUAUGUUAAUUAUUAAUUCACGCUUAAAUGGAGGAAUCGACUCACGGACGGUUGGUUUCUCAAUCGAUAACACAUGUUUGUCCAUCACAUGCAUGCAUGUAGUUCCUGGAUCAUCCGCUGGAUGCUGUGCAAGAUUCGCAAUUUUCCAUCACACUCGGCCAUUACGUGAAACUACCGACCGCAAGACGUACGCCGGCGUCGGCGGAUAUAUCACGAUCAUGUCGUUGUCAUCGAACAGCUCUUGCAGUGUGCACUGAAACUUGCGAACACUGUCUUCAGUCGCCUCACUGCAUAGCCCGUUUUCUUAUCACAGAUCCGCACGCCGGUGCCCCGACAGCCAUGGCGGGUUGCUCUCCACCGAGAGCUCACUGGAGCGGCGGCCCGACGCCGGCAACUUUGCCGACCUGGACGCGGAGGAGUAGGACGUCGUCUCACUGGUCGCCUGCGGCCGGAGUAGCGGCACGACGGCACUAUGGAGCCAGGAUCCACGUCACACUCCUUGAGUCCGGCGUCUCCGUCACAGUUGACAAGGAUGGUUGGAAUCCGGAGGGUUGGAGGGCACGACGGCACUAUGGAGCCAGGAUCCACGUCACAUUUUCUUUUGCUGUAAUCCGUAGGGUUGGAGGGCCGUACCUGCCUAAUGGCAUGUCAAUCCUCGGCUCGCUGGCGGAGGACGAGGAUGUCGGCGUACGGUAGCGGGCUGAGGAUGAGGGAGAUGGGAUCUGGAGGAGCCUUCUAUUUCGGAUGGAGGAGGCGGCGGCUACGCAGCCCUAGGAGUGCGACGUGGGGAAGGAACGAAAAAACAGGAGGAGCAAUUAUUACGGAAACAAAUCAAUGAAAAACCAACCGUAGUUGUAUUGUGUUGUUAUAUCCAUUCAAUUCACGUGUGGUAUAAUGUUAAUCUGUUAUGCACGGUGAUUUCCUGACAUUCUAAACAUCGUAGUUGUAUUGUGUUGUUAUAUCCAUUCAAUUCACGUGUGGACCAAACAUCUGUACACUGCAGUAUCAACCAAUCCAACUCAAACUCUGGUGUUUUGUGAAUCAGUUAAUCCGAAGCAAACAGCUGAUAGAGCAUCGUAUAGUAUCUGCACUUGAAUGGAAAGCACUUUUAUUCUUUCACUGUGAAAACAAGGCAAUCAUUUUACUUGUUUAUUCUUUUUUUACACUCUUGGGAAGCUUGAGCAUGAAUAAUGCUUCAAGAAACAUCCGAAAGGAAGAUGAACUACAAAAAAAAAGCUUUUCUAGAAAAGUAAAUUAAGCUCAAAAUAACAACCUGUUGGGCGCUGUAAAACCCAACUGUAAGGUUAAUAAUAAGUAUUGGCUAGCUUUUAUGUCCGCAGAUCAGUGUCUAUACUGCCCAAGCAGGAGACCACUUCCAUGAUAGUUGGCCUCCUGAACUGAUUAUGAUUGACACACCUGCAAGCAGUUUCAAGCACCUUCAGCAUUUGCUCUUCAUACCCUGUUUCUCGAAGUGUUGGAUCCAGGACCUCAAUCUGCUUGCCCUCAGACCUCAUCUGUAGAACCCAUGGGACAAGUUCUUUUGUUGUAGACGAAACUGGAACAGGUCGCCUUCCUGUGAGCAGCUCAAGCAGGACUACCCCAAAACUGUAUAUAUCUCCUCUCAACGUAGCAACCCACGCUUGCCCAUACUCAGGGGGAAUGUAACCCAUAGUGCCGACCAACUCAGUUGUAACAUGAGUUUUGUUGGGAAGGAUCAAUCUGGCUAGCCCAAAAUCUGCAAGGUAAGCUUUAAAUUCUUUGUCCAAUAGGAUAUUACUGGAUUUGAUGUCACGGUGUACAAUUUGAGGCUUGCAGAUAUCAUGGAUAUAGGAGAGGCCUAGGCUGGCUCCUCGUGCGAUCUUGAGCCGAGUCGGCCAGUCAAGAAAUGAGCUAGUGCCAUCAUCUCUGUUAUGAAGCCAAUCAUCUAGGCUGCCAUUCUCCAUGUAGGAAUACAUGAGGAGCCUUGAGUGUCCCUGGACGCAGUAACCCCAGAGUGGUACAAGAUUUUCAUGCUGUGCCAUGGAGAGAGCAUCAACCUCUGCACUGAAUUCCCUUUCCAUCAGACACAUUUCACCGUUGAGCUUUUUAAUUGCCAAUUUGGAGCCAUCAUGUAGCUCUGCCUUGUAGACUAACCCAUAGCCUCCACACCCAAUGAUGUUCUCCUUGUCAAAGUUGUUCGUAGCUUUCAAAAUGUCAGAGAAUUUGAGCUUGUUUCCUUCUCCCUUGCCUUGUGGCAUGUGCAUCACUACUAGUGUUUCCUCUGAACUGGAGUAGAAUGAAGUCGCUUCAACAUCUCCGCUAUUCUUGCUUCCAUUUUUCUCUGUAAAACCCUUCAUCUUGACUGAGAGAAGGAGUCGCACCAGCAACAGCAGAAUAGCAAUACCUCCAAAGAACACACCAAAUCCAAUUGCGAAAGCAAAUUUCUUAUCUCGUUGUUUUCUGGAGGACGGGUGUAUUGAAGAAUCACAUUUGUGAGUGAGAAUAGAGCCACACAGCUUUGGAUUCCCAUCGAAACUAGAAUUCUGGAAUGUAUUGAACUGGCCUCCAGAUGGAAUAGGCCCUUCUAGGUCAUUGUUCGAAAUGCUGAAUGCUGAAAGGAAGUGUAGGCUAUUCAAUGCAGCUGGGAUAGCACCUGUUAGACUGUUGCUGGACAAGUCUAGCACCUGCAAGUUUGUGAGGUUGCAAAUCGACAGUGGGAUCUGUCCGGAUAACUUGUUGAAACUUAAAUCAAGUACAACAAGCACUUUCAACUGACCAAUCUGUGGGGGAAUCACACCAGUGAACUGAUUGUUGCUUAGAUUCAACACCGUUGGAAAAGAUGUAACAACACGGUAUUGAAGUGAUGGACCACUGUAAACAGGCAACUCAAAGACCCUUGGGUCCCAUUGAGUUGCAUUUUCAAUUGAUUUUAGCAUUGGCAUCUCCAUCAAGGUUAACGGGAUUUCUCCUGUAAGAUUGUUGUUUGACACAUCCAUAAAGAAGAGAUGGCUUAGGGAGUUGAUCCAGCCUGGUAUCGGUCCAGUGAGUUGAUUGCUAUUUAAAAGUAAGAUCUCCAAAUUUGUGAGCCUUGAUAUCCAUAGAGGUAUUUUUCCAGACAACUGGCAACUGUCAAUGUCCAAAACCUGGAGAUUCUCAAAGCCAUCAAUUCUGUCAUCCUCUGGCAUGAGCUCUCCCUUGAAGUUACUGCCGAUUAGCAGAGUGGUAAGGUUCCUGCAGAUCUUUAGGAUGUGAAGUGUGUUUGUGAUAUUGCUGAAAGAGUUUGUGGAGAGUGAUAGGAAGGUGAGGUUCUUCAGAUCACUUAUUCUUGGUGAAAGCUGCCCUAUUAAUUUGUUGGUGGAUACCCGUAGUGCAGUCAGAUUGCUGCAAGAGUAUAUGCUUUCUGGAACUGUGCCGUUGAAGUUGUUGAAGUAAACAUCUAAUGUCUUUAGAUUUGGCAGGUUGGAGAAAUUGACCUUGGCGAGCUGUCCACUGAAAUUGUUAUUCUUGAGGUCAAUUGCUACGAGAUUCGUGCAGUUGCUUAGAGCUGAUGGCAGCUCCCCUGACAAUUUAUUGUUGUCCAAAUGGAACUCCUCCAAUUUCUUGAGCUGGCCUAUGGAAUCUGGAAUCUCGCCACUGAAGUUGUUCCCUCCAAGAUCAAGUGUUACUAGAUUUCUGAGCUUGGUUAUGCGCACACCAUCAAGAACUCCAUUUAAAUGAUUAUUACGAAAAGACAGGUAUUCCAACAAAGUAGCAUUGAAGAGUUCGUCUGGGAUUUCUCCACUGAUGUUGUUGUACCCGACCCUGAGCUCUCUCAGCUUGGAGCAAUCACCAAUUUGUUGGGGGAUGUUGCCACUGAAUUUGUUUAAACACAGAUCAAGCACAGCGAAGGACGGUGAGCUGUUACAGAGAUAAGUUGGUAUGUGCCCUGUAAAGCUGUUGUUACUGGCAUUGAGUGCUCUCAGAUUCUUCAUUGCUUCCCAUGUGGUGGAUGGAAACUGUCCUGCAAAUAAGUUGCUCGAGAUGUUCAGUACCUGGAGAGGCUGGGCAGGGGUUGGAGAUGCCAGUUCGUGGAGUUUUCCAGUGAGCUGGUUAAAGCUAACAUCAAGUGUAGUGAUGCUGCUGGACGACACCAAUUCCAGCGGCAGGCCACCGGACAGCGAGUUGUGAGAGAGGUUGAGGCGCAAAAGGCUGGUGAGGUUGCCAAGGAACGGCGAGACGGACCCCUCGAGGCCUCGAGAAGCCAGCAAAACAUCAGUGACCGUCCUAUUAGGACUGCUGCAGAUGACCCCUUCCCAAGUGCAGCAGUCCUUGUUGCUCCGCCACGUCGCGGCGAGGCCGCCGUCCCACGAGAGCCCGGCAUGGAACUGGAGAAGGGAGGCCUCCUCAUGCUCGGUGCAGGAACUGGCCGGAGAGGCCAAGGAGACCAGCAGCACGAGAGCGAGGCCAAAGCAAGGUAUGUGCAAUUUCUUGCUCUGUGUCUUGUUUGAGCACUGGAGUGUCUGCAUGGUUUCCUGGUGAAACUAGGACGGAAACCAGAGCGUAUGUUGUGCCCUGCCUGGAUAAGACAUCAGUGGUGGUCUAUUCAUGAACACCAUGAGGGGGGAAGAAAGAUCUUGCUCCCAUUAUGCGUUGGUCCUCGCAGUCGUAGUCAGCACGAAGAAAAGAAUGGGUGGUUCACACUGUGUGACGGCUGCCUGCUAUAAUCCACUGACCAGUCAAUUUCCAAAUCUUACUGAAUAGUGACCGUACAAAAUAUUGCUUUUCUAGACCCUAAUAACUAAUUCCUGACCCAGUCUGUCUAGAAUUGUUACUUGAAGCGAUAAUUUUCUUGACCUGACAUGACUUGUCUUACCGGCUUCACCAAACAAUUCUCACAUUUUCCCACUGAUACUGACAACCAAAUAUCGGUUCUUGAUGCAGGAAAGAAAAGCAGGGCAUAAGAGAAAGAAACAGUAGGUGAAGAAGAUUUUGCGAAGAUUCUACCGGGCGAGACAAUGCGCCGGGAAGAUCGUACCGAAAGGCGCCUGCGAUUGAGAGCAAUCAUCAUGGUGUGUAGACAAAGGCCAAGUGGAGGGCAGGAAGAAAGUGCAGUUUCCUGGCUUCCUGGCUUAAUGGACGGGGUGGGUGGUCGAUCCGUGCGGUCUCCUCCAUCCCCUUCUUGACCCGGGGGCGUUUACUUGCCCUUGUCACGCGUGCGUGCGUGCGAGCUUCGUCUGAUGUUUACGUUUGCUCUUCUUUUGCCAUUCUCCUGGCUCCACUGGCGCACUAUAAUUGCGGACCGUGGACGGUGACGCUUUGUGGCUGUCAUCUGAAGUUUGAACCGUAACUUGGGGUGCUGGCAAUGGUGAUGCUAAGUACAGUUUUCUACUCCUAUUACUGUUGUUUUGGAAUGUUAAUUAGUUUACUUGAAUACAAAGGUGGUGUUGAUUAGUUUACUUGGAUAGGUCGACAGCUCCAAUUAUAUGGAUAAACCCUUUUUAAGAACUAUAUUAAGCGAAAUUGCC
RNAcentral lists this long non-coding RNA (11177 nucleotides) under Triticum aestivum (bread wheat). RNAcentral's name for it is "long non-coding RNA (TAES_LNC009989)". The record is from RNAcentral. Lineage: Eukaryota; Viridiplantae; Streptophyta; Magnoliopsida; Poales; Poaceae.